GAAAUGCGAUAAGUAAUGUGAAUUGCAGAAUUCAGUGAAUCAUCGAAUCUUUGAACGCACAUUGCGCCCCCUGGUAUUCCGGGGGGCAUGCCUGUUCGAGCGUCAUUUCACCACUCAAGCCUCGCUUGGUAUUGGGCAACGCGGUCCGCCGCGUGCCUCAAAUCGACCGGCUGGGUCUUCUGUCCCCUAAGCGUUGUGGAAACUAUUCGCUAAAGGGUGCUCGGGAGGCUACGCCGUAAAACAAACCCAUUUCUAAGGUUGACCUCGGAUCAGGUAGGGAUACGCGCUAAACAUAAGC
RNAcentral lists this unclassified non-coding RNA (298 nucleotides) under plant metagenome. RNAcentral describes it as "partial contains 5.8S ribosomal RNA, internal transcribed spacer 2, and large subunit ribosomal RNA". The stretch from base 1 to 105 matches the Rfam family "5.8S ribosomal RNA", at positions 50 to 154 of the family's 154-position model. The record is from RNAcentral.